This 450-nucleotide ribosomal RNA is filed under the name uncultured bacterium. RNAcentral's name for it is "partial 16S ribosomal RNA". It matches the Rfam family "Bacterial small subunit ribosomal RNA", at positions 354 to 796 of the family's 1533-position model. The record is from RNAcentral.
GUGGGGAAUCUUCCGCAAUGGACGAAAGUCUGACGGAGCAACGCCGCGUGAGUGAAGAAGGUUUUCGGAUCGUAAAGCUCUUUCGUUAGGGACGAACGUGCUCUUUGUGAAUAAUGAGGAGUAAUGACGGUACCUAAAUAAGAAGCCACGGCUAACUACGUGCCAGCAGCCGCGGUAAUACGUAGGUGGCAAGCGUUGUCCGGAAUUAUUGGGCGUAAAGCGCGCGCAGGCGGGAUAUCAAGUCUGUCUUAAAAGUGCGAGGCUCAACCUCGUGAGGGGACAGAAACUGGUAUUCUUGAGUGUCGGAGAGGAAAGUGGAAUUCCAAGUGUAGCGGUGAAAUGCGUAGAGAUUUGGAAGAACACCAGUGGCGAAGGCGACUUUCUGGACGAUGUCUGACGCUGAGGCGCGAAAGCUAGGGGAGCGAAUGGGAUUAGAUACCCGGGUAGUCC